Molecule: ribosomal RNA, 253 nt
Filed under: uncultured bacterium
Lineage: Bacteria
Description: partial 16S ribosomal RNA
Rfam family: Bacterial small subunit ribosomal RNA
Source: RNAcentral
UACAGAGGUCCCAAGCGUUGUUCGGAUUCACUGGGCGUAAAGGGUGCGUAGGCGGUCGGGUAAGUCUGACGUGAAAUCCCUCAGCUUAACUGGGGAACUGCGUCUGAUACUGGCGGGCUUGAGGACAGGAGAGGAACGCGGAAUUCCAGGUGUAGCGGUGAAAUGCGUAGAUAUCUGGAGGAACACCGGUGGCGAAGGCGGCGUUCUGGACUGUUUCUGACACUGAAAAACGAAAGCCAGGGGAGCAAACGGG